GCCAGGUGUGGUGGCGCAUGCCUGUAAUCCCAGCUACUUGGGAGGCUGAGGCAGGAGAAUUGCUUGAACCCAGGAGGUGGAGGCUGCAGUGAGCCGAGAUUGUGCCACUGCACUCCAGCCUGGGCGACAGAGUAAGACUCUGUCUCAA
This is an unclassified non-coding RNA of Macaca mulatta (Rhesus monkey), 148 nucleotides long. It matches the Rfam family "Metazoan signal recognition particle RNA". Rfam says of the family: The signal recognition particle (SRP) is a universally conserved ribonucleoprotein. It is involved in the co-translational targeting of proteins to membranes. The eukaryotic SRP consists of a 300-nucleotide 7S RNA and six proteins: SRPs 72, 68, 54, 19, 14, and 9. Lineage: Eukaryota; Metazoa; Chordata; Mammalia; Primates; Cercopithecidae. The record is from Ensembl.